AUUACUUUGGCAGAGUGUAUGCAUUAGAUUUAGGGUCUGAAAAAAUAGAGAGGGGUCUAUAAGUAAUA
RNAcentral lists this transfer RNA (68 nucleotides) under Willemoesia forceps. RNAcentral describes it as "tRNA-Leu". The record is from RNAcentral. Lineage: Eukaryota; Metazoa; Arthropoda; Malacostraca; Decapoda; Polychelidae.